GUUCUCAUUACCACUCUCUACAGCUUCCAUGUCCAGUCUCAGAAUUACAGGUGUGCAACUCUCGGUGAUGCCUAGAAACAUGGCACCAGAUGCAAGGCAAAAUGGAUGACCGGAUGAAAGCACAUCAAUAAAAUGUAUGUAUUUUUAGUUUUCUAACCAAAUUCUUAUCUGUCUAGUUUAGGAUUUGCUAGACAUGCAAUUUUAAUCUACUCCCCACUUAGUCUCUAAAACAAAUGCUUAUACUGUUCAAGGUUCACUGCUACUUCAAAUAGUGCAGAUGACCCCAUCUUAUCUACCAAUAAACCUGUAUGAUGAUUAACAAACAGACUUGACAUUUCCAUGGAGGUCUGUAAUUAGCUCUAUCUGAUUCUGGGUUAAAAGUUGCUGCUCUGAUAAGUUGAAUUGUGUCAACCAUAACUUAAAAUCUAUUUCUAUUUUAGUGACCUGAACUGCAACCAUUACACCCUGACUAGUGCAGAAGUAACUGGAAAUUGCAUGGUACGUCUCACUAUAGAAGUGUGGUCUUGCUUCACGAUAUUGUGAACCAGUUUCUUGGUACAAAAUAAAAUUUUGA
Molecule: long non-coding RNA, 574 nt
Organism: Pelobates fuscus (common spadefoot toad)
Lineage: Eukaryota; Metazoa; Chordata; Amphibia; Anura; Pelobatidae
Exons: 4
Source: RefSeq, a predicted model, not a curated record